AACGAACGCUGGCGGCAUGCCUAACACAUGCAAGUCGAACGAGACCUUCGGGUCUAGUGGCGCACGGGUGCGUAACGCGUGGGAAUCUGCCCUUUGCUUCGGAAUAACAGUUAGAAAUGACUGCUAAUACCGGAUGAUGUCUUCGGACCAAAGAUUUAUCGGCAAAAGGAUGAGCCCGCGUAGGAUUAGGUAGUUGGUGGGGUAAAGGCCUACCAAGCCGACGAUCCUUAGCUGGUCUGAGAGGAUGAUCAGCCACACUGGGACUGAGACACGGCCCAGACUCCUACGGGAGGCAGCAGUGGGAAUAUUGGACAAUGGGCGCAAGCCUGAUCCAGCAAUGCCGCGUGAGUGAUGAAGGCCUUCGGUCGUAAAGCUCUUUUACCAGGGAUGAUAAUGACAGUACCUGGAGAAUAAGCUCCGGCUAACUCCGUGCCAGCAGCCGCG
RNAcentral lists this ribosomal RNA (444 nucleotides) under uncultured bacterium. RNAcentral's name for it is "bacterial SSU rRNA". It matches the Rfam family "Bacterial small subunit ribosomal RNA", at positions 29 to 519 of the family's 1533-position model. The record is from RNAcentral.